UAUGUAGGUUUCUUGGCUUUGAGCUUCUCUUGAUUCUCUGGUUGCUGGGGCUUAUAGACUGGUUGAUUCCUAGGCUGUAGAAGGUGCUAGGGAUACCCACGUAGCUCAGACCUUGGUUCUUUCAUGGUUCGGCAUUACUCACGUAUACAUUCUAGCUUUGACUCUCUAGUUCAGUUGAUUCUAUAGUGUUUCUGGUGGUCAUACUCUCUGUUACCUUGAUGGUUUUCACUGGUUCGGAGGGCUUGAUCAGAGCAGUAUUCAGGUAUCUUUGAGAUGUCCUGUAGUGAGCUAUGACGCUUUCCUGAGUGCUUUGAGCGGACUCUAGGCUUACUGGCUACAGGCUUGGUGUACUAGAAGGGCUGGGAUCUUGGUUUGUGCUUGAGCUCCUUAUCUUGUGAGGAGAGCUCUUUCUCGGUUCUAGGAUGGCCUUAACGUCAUUAUAGUGCGUCUAUAGUUGAUGUGAUGCUGUCUUUGGCUGUAUAUGUUCUCCAUGGGGUUGAGCUUGGUUAGUGUGUUGCUUGGUUAUGGAUAGAGACUGGUUUUCAGAUGGCUUCAACUAUAGGUGAGUACUAAGGUACCUUUCACAGAGAACUCAUUUUCCCUCGCUUUUCUCCUGGUUCGCUACCUUGCUUAUGGAACGAAUCUAGUUUGGCUUGGACAUGGAGAAGAGGAUGCUCAGCGACCCUAGAAACAGAGAGAACCCGCGAGUCGCUUUUCUGUUUAAGAAGGACGGCAAGCCUUAUCUGCUUUAUAGACAGUUGGUGGGACCCCUGGAUGAGAGCGAUGAAGAACCGCAAGAACAGAGCAAGGGAUCUAGUGGUACGGUUACGAAAGCUGAGGCUUCCAUGCCCUUGAAUCCUACACGGGUUUUGCCAGUAGAUGUCCCGUCUGCGACAGCCCAUCGCAAGAGAAGGUUCACUGAGGACGGAGAUUCGAAUAAGCCAGAGAACCUAGUCUACAAAGAACCCGAGCGUAGCUACUUUGAUGAGGAAAACACCUCCGUAGCAGCGCCUGAAGCAGCCAAACCUGAUGUAACUCAGGGAGGGUACGCUAGGCAUAUUCCGAAAGGAAUUCUGAACGAGUUUUUAGCGAAAUCCAGAGGCGAACCACUUCCAAAAGCAGAGGAGGAGGGUAUCGAAAAGUCAAACGUUGGGCAUAAGCUUUUAUCUAAGAUGGGGUGGAAAGAAGGCAGUGGACUAGGAAAGGACGGAGUAGGAUCUGCAGACACAGCGAAAACGUUUGUUAAGACGGAUAAAUCUGGCAUCGGUGCUGAAACUAGAGACACUACGGAGGUGAAGCCGAAGGACGACAUUUACGAACAAUAUCGAAAACGUAUGAUGUUAGCAUAUCGAUAUAGACCAAACCCGAUGAAUAAUCCCCGCAAGGGCUACGAUGGCUACGAUUCUGGAGCGAAAAGAUGAUCGCGCAUGUAGCGUGUUCAUUGAUAUCGAAGCUCUCCGAAAGAGCAUGACCGAAGUGGAGGUUUUUUUACUAUUUACAAAAUUGGUACUCAGCUUGUACGCAACCUUUCAGAACGAGAGCUUGCAGAGUGCUAGAUGGCUUUUUUUUCCGUU
This 1574-nucleotide ribosomal RNA is filed under the name Rhodosorus marinus. RNAcentral describes it as "partial Bacterial large subunit ribosomal RNA". Lineage: Eukaryota; Rhodophyta; Stylonematophyceae; Stylonematales; Stylonemataceae. The record is from RNAcentral.